GCUCUCUGGCAUGACUCAGACAUACAUUUUCAUUGCUUGUCAUGCAGAACACAAAAUGCUGCUUGAACAUUUGUAGUCGCACGCUCCUCUGACAGAAUAAUGGAUUCGUUCUUUCUGCCAGGGUAAAUCACCAGCAGCCCUUGUGCCCAGGCAAAGAUUGCAAAAAAGGACCUGGUGCCUCUGACCUUUGGGUAACAGGCAGACGAUGCCUGAAAAGCCGAUGGUAUGAUACUACCACAAUGUUCCCUCUUCAGAGCUUUGCUAAUGAAACAUCAAGCACAAUGUUUUCCCAGGGGAAAAAAAAGACUGUCCUAGUAUGCCAUUACCUGAGUGAUACAGCCCAACAUCAUCCUUUAUCAGCCCAUUAAGUACAAGAAGGGAAGGAGAUAAUUGAGCAGCGGCCACAGAAGAAAUGAACUUCACCAGAGGCAGAGAAAUCACCCAAACCCUUCCUUCAUCCGGGUGGAAAAGUUUUAAACUGAACUCCCAGGGCCUCCUCCAUUGUAAAGCAAACAGUCAGGACCUUCUCUCUAAGGGCCCCAAACCUUGCAGAAGAAUUGGAAAGACUUUGGGAAGACUGAUGGGUGACCUCUGGUGGAACUCUGCAAGAGGAUAAAUGGACACAAGUCAGAUA
Molecule: long non-coding RNA, 634 nt
Organism: Chrysemys picta bellii (western painted turtle)
Lineage: Eukaryota; Metazoa; Chordata; Testudines; Emydidae
Source: RefSeq, a predicted model, not a curated record